Molecule: small nucleolar RNA, 71 nt
Organism: Anneissia japonica
Lineage: Eukaryota; Metazoa; Echinodermata; Crinoidea; Comatulida; Comatulidae
Source: RefSeq, a predicted model, not a curated record
UGCAUAUGAUGAGGCUAUAUUUUUUCCUGACCAAUUCCCUGGAGGUAAAUCUGAUUUAAUGAGCCUGAUGC